This 458-nucleotide ribosomal RNA is filed under the name uncultured bacterium. RNAcentral describes it as "partial 16S ribosomal RNA". It matches the Rfam family "Bacterial small subunit ribosomal RNA", at positions 338 to 795 of the family's 1533-position model. The record is from RNAcentral.
ACUACGGGAGGCAGCAGUGAGGAAUAUUGGUAAAUGGGCGAGAGCCUGAACCAGCCAAGUCGCGUGAGGGAGUACUGCCCUAUGGGUUGUAAACCUCUUUGGUCGGGGAGCAAAAGCCGGACGUGUCCGGCUGUGAGAGUACACGAAGAAAAAGCAUCGGCUAACUCCGUGCCAGCAGCCGCGGUAAUACGGAGGAUGCGAGCGUUAUUCGGAUUUAUUGGGUUUAAAGGGUGCGCAGGCGGAUUUUUAAGUCAGCGGUCAAAUCGGUGGGGUCAAACCCAUCCAGCCGUUGAAACUGGGUAUCUUGAGUGUGCGAGCGGUAUGCGGAAUGCGUGGUGUCGCUGUGAAAUGCAUAGAUAUCACGCAGAACCCCGAUUGCGAAGGCAGCAUACCGGUGCACAACUGACGCUCAGGCACGAAAGCGUGGGUAUCGAACAGGAUUAGAUACCCUGGUAGUC